UCGUGGAGUGAUUUGUCUGGUUAAUUCCGAUAACUAACGAGACCUUAACCUGCUAAGUAGUGGCAGCAUAACUUGUUGUGCUCGUCUACUUCUUAGAGGGACUUUGUGUGUUUAACACAAGGAAGUUUGAGGCAAUAACA
RNAcentral lists this ribosomal RNA (140 nucleotides) under uncultured eukaryote. RNAcentral describes it as "partial 18S ribosomal RNA". It matches the Rfam family "Eukaryotic small subunit ribosomal RNA", at positions 1299 to 1458 of the family's 1831-position model. The record is from RNAcentral.